GUAAGGGCGACUGAAAAGGGAUGAGCCCAGCGCGUAGGCUGCAGUCCAUCCUCCGUUGAGCGGGGCACUGGUCUGUGAGCGAUGCCGCGUAUGGGAGCGGUCGAGGGAGGUCCGGGACCGGUCCGAAGUCUGUUCCGAAUGUUAGCUCGCUGGCCAUAGAGGGUGGUAGCCCCGUAGGGCCGCGUUUAUGCCCGGAAAGCCCGCCGGCCGUUCCCUAGAGUCGGGUUGCUUGGAAAUGCAGCCCUAAGACGGGUGGUGAACUCCAUCCAAGGCUAAAUAUCCCCACGAGACCGAUAGCGAACAAGUACCGCGAGGGAAAGUUGAAAAGAACUUUGAAAAGAGAGUUCAAGAGAGCGUGAAACUACCACGAGGUUAAAGCGAGUGAGCGUUCGUACCCGAAAUGGUCGAAAAUUGUCGAUUCUUCGUUUCUUCGGGAGUGGGAUUUUCCGGACCUACCGCGAAGAGCCUGGCUCUCGCGCGGAAAGGCCGGAGGUUCGUCUCGCCGAGAGCGAAGUCGCUGUCCCUUUGGCCGAAGUAGGGCGUCGCGGCCGUUCGAGAGGCGUCGAAGACCCGGGGUCCUCCGGGCAUCGCAUCUUCUUCGCGUCGUCUCCUUUUAGGGGGCGGCGUCGAGUCGUGCGAGAACGCCCCGGUGAUCUGACGGUCUCACGGACGGUUAAAUUAUGAAGAAAAAGCGCGCUUGCUGACCGGGAGUCGUCCUCUCGCCCACCUCGCUCUCGCGAGCGUGGG
This 747-nucleotide ribosomal RNA is filed under the name Porcellionides pruinosus. RNAcentral's name for it is "eukaryotic LSU rRNA". It matches the Rfam family "Eukaryotic large subunit ribosomal RNA", at positions 83 to 628 of the family's 3401-position model. Lineage: Eukaryota; Metazoa; Arthropoda; Malacostraca; Isopoda; Porcellionidae. The record is from RNAcentral.